Non-coding RNA from Delphinapterus leucas (beluga whale), 324 nucleotides. The record is from RefSeq and is a predicted model, not a curated record. Lineage: Eukaryota; Metazoa; Chordata; Mammalia; Artiodactyla; Monodontidae.
UGUAGACUCGAAGUUGCAAUUCUUUGCUGACCCUGAACAAACCCAUUUUUUUGCUGGAGAAAUAACUGGCAGUCUAUUUGUUUUUGGUAACAUUUUGGUGGCCUGUACAGGGACCAGAGUAGACCCCUGACAGCUUGGGAGCUGGUGAGUGAGCAGGACUGCCAAGAUUUGAUGCCCACUUCCUGCUACUUCUUUUCCUGCCUCCGUUGCUGUCGCAGAAAAUCCCCUUCCUACUGCCCUCCUUUUACUGCCUUUAACAGGAUUGAGGAGUACCAAAGAAAAGGUGGGAUUAAAACCAAGCAGGACCCUAUGAGGUCCUCCCAG